RNAcentral lists this ribosomal RNA (297 nucleotides) under uncultured eukaryote. RNAcentral describes it as "partial 18S ribosomal RNA". It matches the Rfam family "Eukaryotic small subunit ribosomal RNA", at positions 1470 to 1796 of the family's 1831-position model. The record is from RNAcentral.
CCUUUAGACGCUCUAGGCGGCACGCGCGCUACAAUGGGUGGUAGAACGUGUAACUGCUCCCGAAAGGGAGGGUGAACCACGAAUACUUACCCGUGAAUGGGAUAGUUUGUUGCAAUUUUCGGACUUGAACUAGGAAUCCCUUGUAAGAAUGCUCAAGAAUAGCGUGCUGAAUACGUCCCUGCCGUUUGUACACACCGCCCGUCGUUUCUUCCGACUGAUACUCAUUGUGAGUUGCAAGGAUUCUUAUUGAAAAAUUGCUGCGAAUGCUUUGUAUUGGAGGAAGAAAAAGUCGUAACA